UCUUGAAACUUGGCCAUUGAGAUGUUGAGCACUCAAAAAAAUGUAACAAAUUCUUAGGGAUCUUCCUGACUUCUAAAUAAUUGCUUUGGAUGUCCUUGCUUCUUUGGGAGCGCUAUCAAGGAAUUUUCUUGGAGUUACAGCGAUGGCUGAACUAAUGUUCGGACAUUGAUAUUGCUUUGUAAAAGUUGCUUCCGAAUAUAUUGUAAUCAGAUAGAUAAUUGGGCCUCUCUAGCUGCGAUGCAUGAGUUUCAUCCAAUGUUCAGUGACUUAAAAUGUUCAUAAAAGCUGGUACAAAAAUGUCGAGGAAUUAAAACAUGAAACAUCAUCUUUUGAAAGGGCACAAAAAGUUUUUCCUGCCACUGUUAAGAAAUAAAUAUCUUUCUUGCUAAUCCAGCAUCUGCUGCUUUGUGGGGUGGAACUUCAAACUCUGUUCAUAAUUUUGAUACAGCAAUGGUCAAAUUAUCAAUUGAAAUAUACACUUCCAUUUAUCUUGUUACCACAUUUAAUUUUAGGUUUUUGAUGACUGUGAUUGUUGGAAUAUUAAACUAGGGUAUCUUCCCUGCGUAUUUUUGUCUCCUUCUGCAGUGAUGGGUCCCUAUCCAUUUGUGCUCCAAUUUACUGGGUCAUUUGCCCAUUGGACUACAAUGACAAUGUCUUCUUAUUCUCUAUAAGCAGAACAGGCAUCUUUACUUCACUCUUUAUUUUUUUUAUGCAGAGAUAGAAUCUGUAUUGAUCAACGUAUUGGAAAAGAAGGUAACUCUCACUUGUAGGUAUCCUGGUAUGAAAGUAACCACAGGACAAGUCGCCGCUGUGUACAGAAAUCCUCUAGGCAAAAUGGCAACGAUCAAGCGAAUUUUUCGUUCUUACUCCCGUUGAUGACAUGUAAAUGUUUCGACAAAGCACACAAUUCUGUCAUCAAAAGAUUGUGACCGCGUGAAUUAGCCAUGUAUAUAAUUGCAAUAUUGCGUUGAGAAACUGAAAUAGAAUAUCAGAUACUUCUUACGAGUAUGCUUGAAUUUGUAAGGGAAACAGAUAAGAAAGGCAGAUCAUUUUGAAGAACAUCAAAAUUCUGAGUUUUUGUUAGAUAUGUGCAGAGCUUGUUUCCCCAUUUGAAGGAAAAGAGUACCUUCCUAGGAGGGAGUUAAACAAUUAGUUAACGUGAAUGUAUAAUCUUCUAUUGUCACCUUCUCUAUCUUCAGGGAAGUGAAGUCAGGGCAGGCUAACGUGAAGGUGGCUUAAAUUUUGCGUAACAUAAACCUUUGCAAACAAGAAAGAUGCUUCGUAUAUUGUUUCAUGGAGUAAAACGAAGCAUGGGACAAGAGGGAAAGAUACGAUUCCUCUUGUACUUGUGAGGUAGAUAAACAAAGCACAAAAGUGAAGUUAGGGAUAACAAGCCAGGCGUGCCAAACAAAACCCCCUUCCUCAGCUCAAGUAGAAUCAGAUUCCAAAAUGAAAGCAAAUAAUUCCCAGCAGACAAUCCAAAAGCCGAAACAACAGUUGGACUAUUAUUCUUCAAAUUCUCAAAAUCAAACAUUCCUUGUUUUCUCUGGAUGUUCCGAGCCAUCAGAUCAACCCAUCAUUGAUUUCGUACCAUGUCUUUUAGCAACUACAUACCUGCAAAGACUUGCUGCAUGGUGCUAAGAAUCAACCUUGAUUGUAAUGCUUGUUGCAAAAAAGCUAGGAGGAUCAUUCUCAACAUGAAAGAGGUAGAGACACACAUGAUCGAGAAGCAGCAAUGCAGGAUUAGUGUGUGUGGAAUAUUUCGACCAUCUGAUGUGGCCAUAAAGCUAAGGAAAAAGAUGAACCGUAGAGUUGAAAUAUUGGAAAUUCAGGAAUUCGGCGGCGGCAAUGAGCAGGAAGAACCGUCGGCAAACGUGGAUGGCUAACAUAUGCUCCUACUCCUUGUGAUGUUGCUAUACAAAAUUCCUCGUGCCAUCAUAAUACGCGUGACCAAACCACACGUCUUGCACUUGGCAUCUGGAGUGUUAUCAUUAAAGCAUAGCCAGCGUAGAUACUGCUGAAAUGGAAAGGAAACUCAAAAUUCAAGCAGAGAUGUGGUAGAUUGAAGAAAAAAGGAGUAUGAUGUGUGUAGAGAUGUAAAAAUGUAAUUCACACAAUUUUUAGUAUGUACUUAGAAAAAGCAUGGGUAGCGAAAACUGCAAAACACUUCAUUUGUAUUUAAUUCGUAAAAAACAGAAAUUAAUCGCCUUCUAGUUCA
Molecule: long non-coding RNA, 2218 nt
Organism: Populus nigra (black poplar)
Lineage: Eukaryota; Viridiplantae; Streptophyta; Magnoliopsida; Malpighiales; Salicaceae
Exons: 3
Source: RefSeq, a predicted model, not a curated record